Long non-coding RNA from Herpailurus yagouaroundi (jaguarundi), 441 nucleotides. RefSeq lists it as uncharacterized. The transcript has 2 exons. The record is from RefSeq and is a predicted model, not a curated record. Lineage: Eukaryota; Metazoa; Chordata; Mammalia; Carnivora; Felidae.
UCGAACUCACGGACCGCGAGAUCGUGACCUGAGCCGAAGUCGGACGCUUGACCGACUGAGCCACCCGGGCGCCCCGUGUGGGUUUGAUUUCUAAAACCAGAAGUUCCUGCAGCUGAAGUCCAGAGAGGCCAAGUGACCGGCCCAACAUCAAAUAGCUAGGAGGCAGCCCCAGAGUGGGCCGUGAAGAGCAAGGUCCGUUGUCUCUGUCGCCACUGCACAUCCAGAUCCUGGAAGUACUAAGUGCUUAGUACUAAUAGUACUAAGCACAUAGCACGAAUUCAGGAAAUGUUUGUUGAAAGAGGGUGACAGAACCGAGGUUUGAAUCCAGGUCUGGUUCUCAUCGUUGUGCUCCUUCUACCACGUGCCUUAUACGCUCGCCACAACUUCUACCGCGAGGAUGAGCACAUUGUGUUUUUGACCACGUUUGAUCUACAAAAAAAA